GAUGAACGCUAGCUACAGGCUUAACACGUGCAAGUCGCGGGGCAGCAUGGGGGUUGCUUGCAAUCCCCGAUGGCGACCGGCGCACGGGUGAGUAACGCGUAUCCAACCUGCCCUUCACCACGGGAUAACCCGGCGAAAGUCGGACUAAUACCGUAUGUUGUCCAUUGACGGCAUCCGAUUUGGACGAAAGGUUUGGCGGUGAAGGAUGGGGAUGCGUCCGAUUAGCUGGACGGCGGGGUGACGGCCCACCGUGGCGACGAUCGGUAGGGGUUCUGAGAGGAAGGUCCCCCACACUGGAACUGAGACACGGUCCAGACUCCUACGGGAGGCAGCAGUGAGGAAUAUUGGUCAAUGGGCGUAAGCCUGAACCAGCCAAGUAGCGUGCAGGAUGACGGCCCUAUGGGUUGUAAACUGCUUUUAUGCGGGGAUAAAGAGGCCCACGUGUGGGUUUUUGCAGGUACCGCAUGAAUAAGGACCGGCUAAUUCCGUG
This 490-nucleotide ribosomal RNA is filed under the name uncultured bacterium. RNAcentral describes it as "partial 16S ribosomal RNA". It matches the Rfam family "Bacterial small subunit ribosomal RNA", at positions 28 to 507 of the family's 1533-position model. The record is from RNAcentral.